This 524-nucleotide ribosomal RNA is filed under the name uncultured Alphaproteobacteria bacterium. Its description in RNAcentral is "bacterial SSU rRNA". It matches the Rfam family "Bacterial small subunit ribosomal RNA", at positions 34 to 543 of the family's 1533-position model. Lineage: Bacteria; Pseudomonadati; Pseudomonadota; Alphaproteobacteria. The record is from RNAcentral.
CGCUGGCGGCAGGCCUAAUACAUGCAAGUCGAGCGCGCCCUUCGGGGUGAGCGGCGGACGGGUUAGUAACGCGUGGGAACGUGCCCUUCUCUAAGGAAUAGCCACUGGAAACGGUGAGUAAUACCUUAUACGCCCCCCAAUCAAAUUCCAUUUGGUUGACGGAAAUUCUGUUGAAUGCCGGAUGGCAUUUGAUGGGGGGGAAAGAUUUAUCGGAGAAGGAUCGGCCCGCGUUAGAUUAGAUAGUUGGUGGGGUAAUGGCCUACCAAGUCUACGAUCUAUAGCUGGUUUUAGAGGAUGAUCAGCAACACUGGGACUGAGACACGGCCCAGACUCCUACGGGAGGCAGCAGUAGGGAAUCUUGGACAAUGGGCGCAAGCCUGAUCCAGCCAUGCCGCGUGAGUGAAGAAGCCUUAAGGUCGUAAAGCUCUUUCGCCUGUGAUGAUAAUGACAGUAGCAGGUAAAGAAACCCCGGCUAACUCCGUGCCAGCAGCCGCGGUAAUACGGAGGGGGUUAGCGUUGAAGCC